This 253-nucleotide ribosomal RNA is filed under the name uncultured bacterium. RNAcentral describes it as "partial 16S ribosomal RNA". It matches the Rfam family "Bacterial small subunit ribosomal RNA", at positions 524 to 776 of the family's 1533-position model. The record is from RNAcentral.
UACGAGGGGUGCAAGCGUUGCUCGGAAUUAUUGGGCGUAAAGGGUAGGUAGGUGGUCUCGUUUGUCUGGGGUGAAAGCCUUGAGCUUAACUCAAGAAGUGCCCUAGAAACGGCGAGACUGGAGUCUUGGAGAGGGUCGUGGAAUUCCCGGUGUAGCGGUGAAAUGCGUAGAGAUCGGGAGGAACACCAGAGGCGAAGGCGGCUACCUGGACCAGCACUGACACUGAGGCACGAAAGCGUGGGGAGCAAACAGG